AAUUUUUGACAAUGGGCGCAAGCCUGAUCCAGCCAUGCCGCUUGUGUGAAGAAUGCCUUCCGGUUGUAUGGCUCUUUCGGUCGUAACGAAAUCUCGCCCGCUAAUACCCGUCUCGGAUGACGGUACCGUCAUUACAAGCACCGCCUAACUACGUGCCUGCAGCCGCGGUAAUACGUAGGGUGCGAGCGUUAAUCGGAAUUACUGGGCGUAAAGAGUGCGCAGGCGGGUGAUUAAGACAGGCGUGAAAACCCCGGGCUUAACCUGGGAACUGCGCUUGUGAAUGGUCAGCUAGAGUACGGCAGAGGGGGGUGGAAUUCCACGUGUAGCAGUGAAAUGCGUAGAGAUGUGGAGGAACACCGAUGGCGAAGGCAGCACCCUGGGCCGAUACUGACGCUCAUGCACGAAAGCGUGGGUAGCAAACAGG
RNAcentral lists this ribosomal RNA (424 nucleotides) under uncultured bacterium. Its description in RNAcentral is "partial 16S ribosomal RNA". It matches the Rfam family "Bacterial small subunit ribosomal RNA", at positions 360 to 776 of the family's 1533-position model. The record is from RNAcentral.